CUCCUGUGACAUCCUCGGUUUACUUCAGGCACAUCUCCUAAGAAAUUGUUUAAGAAGGAAUAUUGUUUCCUUCAUAACAAUCAUACAUACUAUAUUCUUCUGUGGUUAUUUGUACGGGUUUUAUGCAAUUUUUAAAUUGUGCAGUUUUUUUUGCUAUGAUAGUAGUUCACACUGUGAAAAUUAUAAGAUUGAUGCACUGUUACUGUACAAGUUCCUUCUGUACAUUUUAGUACUGCAGGUGAAAUUCCUUUUACAAAAAUGACUGGCAGCUACUUGCACUCAUUCCCUCCUGGCAGCUCAACUCACAUGAUUGCGUGACUAUAAAACUUAAGGGCAGAAAGUUCGAGAACAACAUGACAACGACGUCCGAGAGCUGAGCUCAUCGAAAUGCAUGGAUGUGGACAGACGGCGCAAGGACCUGGGAACUAACCCCACAGUCUGCGGGCCAUCUAGACGAUCACCCGUCCCUUCAUUCCCCAGCUGUCAGCGACCAGCACAGGACACAUCGACCUCUUCCCCCGAGACUCCGCGGAGCUCAGCCUGAGGUAGGCAGAGGACAAAGGCCUGGUGCAAAGGUGAUGCCAAACUGCAGUUCUCAUGACAUAAAAGGCGAGACACAGAUGUGCAGUGUUUGA
This 635-nucleotide long non-coding RNA is filed under the name Scleropages formosus (Asian bonytongue). Its description in RNAcentral is "lncRNA (ENSSFOG00015032164.1)". Lineage: Eukaryota; Metazoa; Chordata; Actinopteri; Osteoglossiformes; Osteoglossidae. The record is from RNAcentral.